Molecule: ribosomal RNA, 241 nt
Filed under: uncultured bacterium
Lineage: Bacteria
Description: partial 16S ribosomal RNA
Rfam family: Bacterial small subunit ribosomal RNA
Source: RNAcentral
ACGGGUGGAGUAACGCGUGGUCAACCUACCGUUGAGUGGGGGAGUAACUAGCCGAAAGGUUAAGCUAAUACCGCAUACGUCUCCGAGGGGCGAUCCCUUUGGCGGAUAAAAGGAAGCAAUCCGCUCGAUGACGGGACCGCGUCCCAUUAGCUAGAUGGUGGGGUAACGGGCCUACCAUGGCACCGAUGGGUAGCUGGUUUGAGAGAGCGACCAGCCACACUGGGACUGAGAAACGGCCCAG